RNAcentral lists this ribosomal RNA (367 nucleotides) under uncultured organism. RNAcentral describes it as "bacterial SSU rRNA". It matches the Rfam family "Bacterial small subunit ribosomal RNA", at positions 526 to 896 of the family's 1533-position model. The record is from RNAcentral.
CGGAGGGUGCAAGCGUUAUCCGGAUUUACUGGGUUUAAAGGGUGUGUAGGCGGGCUUUUAAGUCGGUGGUGAAAUCUCCGAGCUCAACUUGGAAACUGCCAUUGAUACUAUUAGUCUUGAAUUUUGUUGAGGUAGGCGGAAUAAGUCAUGUAGCGGUGAAAUGCAUAGAUAUGACUUAGAACACCAAUUGCGAAGGCAGCUUGCUAAACAACAUUGACGCUGAGGCACGAAAGCGUGGGGAUCAAACAGGAUUAGAUACCCUGGUAGUCCACGCCCUAAACGAUGAUUACUCGACAUACGCGAUACACAGUGUGUGUCUGAGCGAAAGCAUUAAGUAAUCCACCUGGGAAGUACGACCGCAAGGUUG